This is a non-coding RNA of Potamilus streckersoni, 68 nucleotides long. The record is from the annotation of a GenBank genome assembly. Lineage: Eukaryota; Metazoa; Mollusca; Bivalvia; Unionida; Unionidae.
GGUAGCUUAGGUGGUUAGAGCAUCCGCUUCGGAUGCGGGAAGUCGUGGGUUCGGGGCCCGUCAUACCA